ACAGAACAGAACAGAACAGAACAGAACAGAACAGAACAGAACAGAACAGAUCAGAACAGAACAGAACAGAAGGCUCUGUCUCUCCCCCAAAAGAUCUCCAAGGAGGAGAGCUCCUCUACCUGUCUCCAAGGCAAAGAAGCUGCUGGAAAGGUUCUCUAAACCCUCAGGAGCAGAGUCUUCCAGCAUUUCUUAGCCUGAGCCUGAGCAGUUCUGAGAUUUUUACAGCAUGCUGGGCACAGUGAGAACUGAGAAAUCUUACCAAAGAGUCUUGGGCUUUAUAUAUAGUGUCCAGAGUGAAAGAGGACACGCCAGUGCCACCUUCAGCAGUAGGAGGAGCACCUUGUCUAUCUGAUAAGGAAGCUCAUGAAGACAGGACUGCCUGUGGCUCCAGAUCUUUAAAAUAUUGGCAACUAAAGAUAAGCAGCUUGAGAGAGGAAACAUGUAUACCUUCCCAGGGCGCAUCCCUGGGGUAGGCUUCACCAAGAGUGGAUACCAUUUGAAAACUGGAAACUUCUUAUGUCCUAGGUGGAAAUGGGCUAUUUUCUAGCAGAGGUGCCAAGUAAAUACUGCUUUCUCACCUCCA
Molecule: long non-coding RNA, 583 nt
Organism: Mesocricetus auratus (golden hamster)
Lineage: Eukaryota; Metazoa; Chordata; Mammalia; Rodentia; Cricetidae
Exons: 2
Source: RefSeq, a predicted model, not a curated record